AUCUGAGGCAGUGUGAGAAGAUUUCUCACUCAUCCCUACCCUAAUGAGGAUCAUGCUCCUCUACUGCAUAGGCUUUUUUCUCCUGGAAGUAGAUCCCAUGGAUGCUGGUGUCACUCAGAACUUCAGAUAUCUGGUCACAGGGACAGAACGCAAGGUGACACUGAGAUGUGACCAGGAUCUGACACAUGACUAUAUGUGCUGGUAUAGACAAGACCCAGGCUUGGGACUAAGACUUAUCCAUUAUUCUAUUGAUGUGAACCUUGUAGACAAAGGAGAAAUCUCAGAUGGCUACAGUGCCUCUCGAACAAAGCAGCAAUUCUUUCUUCUAAUCCUGGAGUCUACGAGCAGAAACCAAACAUCUGACUAUUUUUGUGCCAGCAGUUACCACAGAAUAGCAGAGUAUCAUCCUCCCUGA
Non-coding RNA from Antechinus flavipes (yellow-footed antechinus), 415 nucleotides. Lineage: Eukaryota; Metazoa; Chordata; Mammalia; Dasyuromorphia; Dasyuridae. The record is from the annotation of a RefSeq genome assembly.